RNAcentral lists this transfer RNA (68 nucleotides) under marine eukaryotic metagenome. It matches the Rfam family "tRNA". From Rfam's summary of the family: Transfer RNA (tRNA) molecules are approximately 80 nucleotides in length. Their secondary structure includes four short double-helical elements and three loops (D, anti-codon, and T loops). The record is from RNAcentral.
GCAAGGUGGCAGAGUGGUUAUGCAGCGGCCUGCAAAGCCGUGGACGUCGGUUCGAUUCCGAUCCUUGC